This 92-nucleotide transfer RNA is filed under the name Actinomycetota bacterium. RNAcentral's name for it is "Actinobacteria bacterium tRNA-Ser". It matches the Rfam family "tRNA". From Rfam's summary of the family: Transfer RNA (tRNA) molecules are approximately 80 nucleotides in length. Their secondary structure includes four short double-helical elements and three loops (D, anti-codon, and T loops). Lineage: Bacteria; Bacillati; Actinomycetota. The record is from RNAcentral.
GGAGUGGUGGCCGAGUUCGGUCGAAGGCGCUCCCCUGCUAAGGGAGUAGGGCUCUAAAAAGGUCCUCGUGGGUUCAAAUCCCACCCGCUCCG